This 460-nucleotide ribosomal RNA is filed under the name uncultured bacterium. Its description in RNAcentral is "partial 16S ribosomal RNA". It matches the Rfam family "Bacterial small subunit ribosomal RNA", at positions 338 to 795 of the family's 1533-position model. The record is from RNAcentral.
CCUACGGGAGGCAGCAGUGAGGAAUAUUGGUCAAUGGCCGUAAGGCUGAACCAGCCAAGUAGCGUGAGGGAAGACUGCCCUAUGGGUUGUAAACCUCUUUUAUGCGGGGAUAAAGGUGUCCACGUGUGGAUGUUUGCAGGUACCGCAUGAAUAAGGACCGGCUAAUUCCGGGCCGGCAGCCGCGGUAAUACGGAAGGUCCGGGCGUUAUCCGGAUUUAUUGGGUUUAAAGGGAACGUAGGCCGGUCUUUAAGCGUGCCGGGAAAUUUUGUGGCUCAACCAUGAGAGUGCGGCGCGAACUGGAGACCUUGAGUGCGCGGAAGGCAGGCGGAAUUCGUGGUGUAGCGGUGAAAUGCUUAGAUAUCACGAAGAACCCCGAUUGCGAAGGCAGCCUGCCGCAGCGUUACUGACGCUGAAGUUCGAAAGCGCGGGUAUCGAACAGGAUUAGAUACCCCAGUAGUC